GACCGCGUGGCCUAAUGGAUAAGGCGUCUGACUUCGGAUCCGAAGAUUGAGGGUUCGGGUCCCUUUGUGGUCG
This is a non-coding RNA of Xenopus tropicalis (tropical clawed frog), 73 nucleotides long. Lineage: Eukaryota; Metazoa; Chordata; Amphibia; Anura; Pipidae. The record is from Rfam.